Molecule: ribosomal RNA, 917 nt
Filed under: uncultured archaeon
Lineage: Archaea
Description: bacterial SSU rRNA
Rfam family: Archaeal small subunit ribosomal RNA
Source: RNAcentral
UGGGUAUAAUUCCCGAUAGAUCUGAGAGGCUGGAAUGCACUCUGAUCGAAAGCUCCGGCACCCAAGGAUGGGUCUGCGGCCUAUCAGGUUGUAGUGGGUGUAAUGUACCUACUAGCCUACUACGGGUACGGGUUGUGAGAGCAAGAGCCCGGAGAUGGAUUCUGAGACACGAAUCCAGGCCCUACGGGGUGCAGCAGGCGCGAAACCUUUACAAUGCGGGCAACCGCGAUAAGGGGACCUCGAGUGCUGGCAUACAAUGUCGGCUGUCGUGAUGCCUAAAAAGCAUUAUAUAGCAAGGGCCGGGCAAGACCGGUGCCAGCCGCCGCGGUAACACCGGCGGCUCGAGUGGUGACCGCUAUUAUUGGGUUUAAAGGGUCUGUAGCCGGCCGGAUUAGUCUCUUGGGAAAUCUGGCCGCUUAACGGUCAGGCUUUCAGGAGAUACUGUCUGGCUCGAGGCCGGGAGAGGUGAGAGGUACUUCAGGGGUAGGGGUGAAAUCUUGUAAUCCUUGGAGGACCACCAGUGGCGAAGGCGUCUCACCAAAACGGACCUGACGGCAAGGGACGAAAGCUAGGGGCACGAACCGGAUUAGAUACCCGGGUAGUCCUAGCCGUAAACGAUACUCGCUAGGUGUCGGCCGCGGUGCGACCGUGGUCGGUGCCGUAGGGAAACCGUGAAGCGAGCCACCUGGGAAGUACGGCCGCAAGGCUGAAACUUAAAGGAAUUGGCGGGGGAGCACCACAACGGGUGGAGCUUGCGGUUUAAUUGGAUCCAACGCCGGAAAUCUCACCGGGAUCGACAGCAAUCUGAAGGCCAGGCUGAAGACCUUGCCGGAUUAGCUGAGAGGUGGUGCAUGGCCGUCGUCAGUUCGUACUGUGAAGCAUCCUGUUAAGUCAGGCAACGAGCGAGACCCCUACCG